AGGUAAUGAAAAACUGAUGGAGUUUCCAAGUGAUGGUGAUGAAAGUAAUAAGAUGCUAGUGGAUGAUGUGACUGUACACUGAUACUGGGAGAUACAGAGACAACUCAACAGUCAAAUGUAUGGAAAUGGAAAAUGCGGAUGGGUGAUGCGCACAUUAGAAGGCGUUGGAAGUAAUGUGUAGUGUAUGAAGAAACUAGUUGCAGAUCAAUGAAGACUUGACUAUCAAAACUCAUUUUAUCAAGGUACUACUGGAAGGACCCAAUCGCUAAGAAAGAACCUUAGCUUCAAUGUAAACACAACAAAUAAUCACUACAAUAUUAGUAACUGUAUUUUCAUCUUUUGGUCCCUAUCAAUAAAAACUACCUACUCAUAA
Ostrinia nubilalis (European corn borer) is the source of this 373-nucleotide long non-coding RNA. RefSeq lists it as uncharacterized. Lineage: Eukaryota; Metazoa; Arthropoda; Insecta; Lepidoptera; Crambidae. The transcript has 5 exons. The record is from RefSeq and is a predicted model, not a curated record.